RNAcentral lists this ribosomal RNA (554 nucleotides) under uncultured bacterium. Its description in RNAcentral is "bacterial SSU rRNA". It matches the Rfam family "Bacterial small subunit ribosomal RNA", at positions 45 to 558 of the family's 1533-position model. The record is from RNAcentral.
UGCUAUCAUGCAGUCGAACGCGUCCUCGCUGAUGAAGUUGAAGUGCUUGCACGGAUUCUGAUUCAACAUUUGGACGAGUGGCGAACUGGUGAGUAACACGUGGGUAACCUGCCCUCAAGCAGGGGAUAACACUUGGAAACAGGUGCUAAUACCGUAUAACAAUGAAAACCGCAUGGUUUUCAUUUGAAAGAUGGUUUCGGCUAUCACUUGAGGAUGGACCCGCGGCGUAUUAGCUAGUUGGUGAGGUAACGGCUCACCAAGGCAAUGAUACGUAGCCGACCUGAGAGGGUAAUCGGCCACAUUGGGACUGAGACACGGCCCAAACUCCUACGGGAGGCAGCAGUAGGGAAUCUUCCACAAUGGACGAAAGUCUGAUGGAGCAACGCCGCGUGAGUGAAGAAGGGUUUCGGCUCGUAAAACUCUGUUGUUAAAGAAGAACAGGUGUAAGAGUAACUGUUUACACCGUGACGGUAUUUAACCAGAAAGCCACGGCUAACUACGUGCCAGCAGCCGCGGUAAUACGUAGGUGGCAAGCGUUGUCCGGAUUUAUUGGG